This 253-nucleotide ribosomal RNA is filed under the name uncultured bacterium. RNAcentral describes it as "partial 16S ribosomal RNA". It matches the Rfam family "Bacterial small subunit ribosomal RNA", at positions 524 to 776 of the family's 1533-position model. The record is from RNAcentral.
UACGGAGGGGACUAGCGUUGUACGGAAUUACUGGGCGUAAAGCGCACGUAGGCGGAUUUGUAAGUCAGGGGUGAAAUCCCGGGGCUCAACCUCGGGACUGCCUUUGAUACUGCAAAUCUCGAGUCCGGAAGAGGUGAGUGGAACUCCGAGUGUAGAGGUGAAAUUCGUAGAUAUUCGGAAGAACACCAGUGGCGAAGGCGGCUCACUGGUCCGGUACUGACGCUGAGGUGCGAAAGCGUGGGGAGCAAACAGG